Molecule: long non-coding RNA, 551 nt
Filed under: Numida meleagris (helmeted guineafowl)
Lineage: Eukaryota; Metazoa; Chordata; Aves; Galliformes; Numididae
Description: lncRNA (ENSNMEG00000000613.1)
Source: RNAcentral
UAACCUUUUAAUGUUUCAUUUUUGAGCAGAGAUUUUCAGUUGCACUUAUUUUAGUCUGUUUGCUAACAGUGGUUUGAAGUGAUCAGUUUCUGUCAUGUUUCUGGACAGGCUGACUCAGCUGCUUCAGUGGAGAGUAAGCAAUUUAAGGAAGGAAGGAAGACCGUCCACUCUGUCUCCGUCUGUGCAUCUGAAGAUCCAGAGCAGACUCUGCAGUUAUUUGCUGAUGUGCAAAUUGUCCAAUUGGCCAUCCAAAAGAUGAAUGGCAAUUGUCAUUCUGUCCACGAUGCCCAUCCAGAAUAUACUGGACUUCUCCACCAAGCUGGUAUGGAUGACGGAGCUUAGCUCCUGCAGCACUCUUACCAUCCAUGGCUCUUUGUAGCUUGGACCAUUCAGAUGGAGUGAGGUAAACCCAGACCUAGUGUGUUGGGGUCGUGGAAUAUGAGUGUAACUGUCUAUUGGUAAAACAACCAAUCAUGAUCUUGAAAGAAAAAGAACUUGAUGUUUUGUUGUUGUUUUUUUUUUUUUUUCAAAUAAAUAGAGCAAAUACAUCA